UCCAGGCAAAUCCGGAUAAUCAAGGCUGAGGUGUGAUGACGAGGCACUACGGUGCUGAAGUAACAAAUGCCCUGCUUCCAGGAAAAGCCUCUAAGCAUCAGGUAACAUCAAAUCGUACCCCAAACCGACACAGGUGGUCAGGUAGAGAAUACCAAGGCGCUUGAGAGAACUCGGGUGAAGGAACUAGGCAAAAUGGUGCCGUAACUUCGGGAGAAGGCACGCUGGUGUGUAGGUGAAGUCCCUGCGGAUGGAGCUGAGACCAGUCGAAGAUACCAGCUGGCUGCAACUGUUUAUUAAAAACACAGCACUGUGCAAACACGAAAGUGGACGUAUACGGUGUGACGCCUGCCCGGUGCCGGAAGGUUAAUUGAUGGGGUUAUCCGUAAGGAGAAGCUCUUGAUCGAAGCCCCGGUAAACGGCGGCCGUAACUAUAACGGUCCUAAGGUAGCGAAAUUCCUUGUCGGGUAAGUUCCGACCUGCACGAAUGGCGUAAUGAUGGCCAGGCUGUCUCCACCCGAGACUCAGUGAAAUUGAACUCGCUGUGAAGAUGCAGUGUACCCGCGGCAAGACGGAAAGACCCCGUGAACCUUUACUAUAGCUUGACACUGAACAUUGAGCCUUGAUGUGUAGGAUAGGUGGGAGGCUUUGAAGCGUGGACGCCAGUCUGCGUGGAGCCAACCUUGAAAUACCACCCUUUAAUGUUUGAUGUUCUAACGUUGGCCCCUUACCGGGGUUGCGGACAGUGUCUGGUGGGUAGUUUGACUGGGGCGGUCUCCUCCCAAAGCGUAACGGAGGAGCACGAAGGUUAGCUAAUCCUGGUCGGACAUCAGGAGGUUAGUGCAAUGGCAUAAGCUAGCUUGACUGCGAGCGUGACGGCGCGAGCAGGUGCGAAAGCAGGUCAUAGUGAUCCGGUGGUUCUGAAUGGAAGGGCCAUCGCUCAACGGAUAAAAGGUACUCCGGGGAUAACAGGCUGAUACCGCCCAAGAGUUCAUAUCGACGGCGGUGUUUGGCACCUCGAUGUCGGCUCAUCACAUCCUGGGGCUGAAGUAGGUCCCAAGGGUAUGGCUGUUCGCCAUUUAAAGUGGUACGCGAGCUGGGUUUAGAACGUCGUGAGACAGUUCGGUCCCUAUCUGCCGUGGGCGCUGGAGAAUUGAGGGGGGCUGCUCCUAGUACGAGAGGACCGGAGUGGACGCAUCACUGGUGUUCGGGUUGUCAUGCCAAUGGCACUGCCCGGUAGCUAAAUGCGGAAGAGAUAAGUGCUGAAAGCAUCUAAGCACGAAACUUGCCCCGAGAUGAGUUCUCCCUGAGACUUUAAGUCUCCUGAAGGAACGUUAAAGACGAUGACGUUGAUAGGCCGGGUGUGUAAGCGCAGCGAUGCGUUGAGCUAACCGGUACUAAUGAACCGUGAGGCUUAACCUUACAACGCCGAAG
This 1431-nucleotide ribosomal RNA is filed under the name Klebsiella pneumoniae. RNAcentral describes it as "partial 23S ribosomal RNA". It matches the Rfam family "Bacterial large subunit ribosomal RNA", at positions 1531 to 2925 of the family's 2925-position model. RNAcentral also lists the same sequence under 1 other name. The record is from RNAcentral. Lineage: Bacteria; Pseudomonadati; Pseudomonadota; Gammaproteobacteria; Enterobacterales; Enterobacteriaceae.